This 1412-nucleotide long non-coding RNA is filed under the name Sorghum bicolor (sorghum). Its description in RNAcentral is "long non-coding RNA (SBIC_LNC003592)". Lineage: Eukaryota; Viridiplantae; Streptophyta; Magnoliopsida; Poales; Poaceae. The record is from RNAcentral.
AAACGCACCCUAGACUUCUUGACAGAACCAACAACAGCAUCGUGUGGAGGACUCCCUGCGCCUCGCGGCAUCCUGCUCGGCCAUGCCCGCCACGCCGUGCCCCUUGCCCUGCGCCUUGGCUCCCUGCUCGACCAACACUGUUGCGCCCUGCUCAUCUAGCCCCGUUGCACUGCAGCGAAUGGGCCAGCCCAGAGAUCAGCCAAAAGCCCAGGACGCCUAGGGCACGUGAGAGAUGGAUCCCGUCGACGGGCCUUGGCCAGAGCGGCCUUCUACAUACAUGGCCGGCGCGGCGCGGCGGCGGCUAGGGUUCCCACCCAACGCCGCUCUUUUUUUGAUUCGAACGAUGUUGCACCCUCCUCUGUUUCACCGGUGCGACUCGAAGGGGUAAGGCACCGAUAGGGAAAGAGUAUGUCGGUCUUUCUAGGGGCACUAGUACUGCGUCUUCACAAAACAAAUUGAUGAAUUGGUAGAAGGGCCCAGAAACUAAGAGCCAGUUUUUUUUAGGACCAAGGAAAUAAUUUGUUGUUUCUUUUUUUUUCUUUCCUGCAAAUGUUGAUGGGGUGAUGUCGGGUGAUAUUUGCAAAUUUGUAGGGAUGUGGAGUUGACUUUUCAGGGGGUUAAGAGCAACUCCAAGAGUCUGACUAAAAUUAGUAGUCAAAUUCUAAUAUUUAGUCAUUUUGUAAAGUAGAAAACUUCUUAAAAAAGAAGAGAUCCACAACAGUCUUACUAUUUUACAAAAUCAUAUAGCUUGUGUCAGUGGUUGGCUAUAUAUGUCCAGCGAAAAUCAAGGAAUAGCCAACUUUCUAUUUUACAAAACUAGAUAACACAUCUGUUGGAGUCUACCUUUUAUUAUGCAAAUUCUAAAAUAGCCUCCACAAUAAGAAUAGCCAAGCUGUUGGAGUUGCUCUAAGGCCUUGUUUAGUUCACCCAAAGAUCUAAAAACUUUUUAAGAUUUCUCAUCACAUUGAAUCUUACGGCACAUACAUGAAGUAUUAACUAUAGAUAAAAAAUAAUUAAUUGCACAUUUUGUCUAUAAUUUGCAAGAUAAAUCCAUUAAGUCUAAGUCUAUGGUUGGACAAUAUUUGUAAAGUACAAAUGAAAAUACUAUCGUAGCAAAAACCAAAAUUUUUCGCAAACUAAACCGAGCCUAAAUUCCGACGUGUAAUAGCAUCUAGUACUAUCUGCAGCCUGCAACUGUAAUGCACGAAAGCUCUCACUACGGUACUAUUCGUUGCUUUGCGCGGCAGUCGGCACCAUUGCUUUGCCGAGCGAUGGCGAGCGAGGGCAAGCGAGGACAAGACUUAUGGCAAGCGAUGACAAGACUUGGCUUCGCCCAGGCAAGCUCCUUAUCGCUCACACUGUCACAACAAAGGUGAGGCAGCCUCUAUAUUUUUCAGUUUUAGACCCUCUAU